This is a long non-coding RNA of Styela clava, 680 nucleotides long. RefSeq lists it as uncharacterized. Lineage: Eukaryota; Metazoa; Chordata; Ascidiacea; Stolidobranchia; Styelidae. The record is from RefSeq and is a predicted model, not a curated record.
AGCAAUUUCAGUGUUUACCCUUAAUUCAAGGGCUGCACAGGAUUUGUCACUGUCAAGGAGAUUGGUAUCAUCUGCAAAUAAUUUCGAGAAUAAUGAAGAACAAUGAGUUAUGUCAUUAACAUAUACUAAAAAUAACAAUGGACCCAAACAGCUACCUUGUGGAACUCCAUGAGUCACUGAUUUUAGAAGAGGAAUUACUCUUGCAAUUUUGAGAGAAGAAGGAAAUAUGCCGAGAGAGAGUGAGCAAUUGAAGAACUCUGUCAGACAUGGAGCGAUGAGGUCAGCAACUAAUUUAAGAAAGCGAGCUGGAAUAUUAUCUGGCCCAACUGCCUUCCUAUCCUUCAAAUUUUGAAUUUCUACCAACAAUUCAUUAGAAGUAGUCGGACUCAUAAAUAUAGACUGGCUCAGAGGAUUAUGAAGAAGUUGUUUGAAGUUACCCGAAUCAUUAGAAAACUUUUCUGAGAGGCUGGACCCUAUGGUUGAGAAGUACUCAUUAAAUUCAGUUGAUAUCGAGAAGUCAUCUUUGGUGAUACUGCCAUUUUUCAGAUAAAUUUCCUUAACUUUUUGUCUUGAUUUAUUAUGCGUGUGCGUAAUUUGGUUAACUAUUUGCCAUGUCGAUCUCGGGUUGCCUCUGUUUUGGGCAAUAAGGUUUUGGUAAUAAAUUUGCUUUGCUCUAUCUA